This 446-nucleotide ribosomal RNA is filed under the name uncultured bacterium. RNAcentral describes it as "partial 16S ribosomal RNA". It matches the Rfam family "Bacterial small subunit ribosomal RNA", at positions 329 to 792 of the family's 1533-position model. The record is from RNAcentral.
GUCCAGACUCCUACGGGAGGCAGCAGUGGGGGAUAUUGCACAAUGGAGGGAACCCUGAUGCAGCGACGCCGCGUGGGUGAAGAAGCGCCUCGGCGCGUAAAGCCCUGUCAGCAGGGAAGAAAAUGACGGUACCUGAAGAAGAAGCCCCGGCUAACUACGUGCCAGCAGCCGCGGUAAUACGUAGGGGGCAAGCGUUAUCCGGAUUUACUGGGUGUAAAGGGGGCGCAGACGGCAGCGCAAGCCAGGAGUGAAAGCCCGGGGCCCAACCCCGGGACUGCUCUUGGAACUGCGCGGCUGGAGUGCAGGAGGGGCAGGCGGAAUUCCUGGUGUAGCGGUGAAAUGCGUAGAUAUCAGGAGGAACACCGGUGGCGAAGGCGGCCUGCUGGACGGUGACUGACGCUGAGGCUCGAAAGCGUGGGGAGCAAACAGGAUUAGAUCCCCCAGUA